This 425-nucleotide ribosomal RNA is filed under the name uncultured Escherichia sp. RNAcentral's name for it is "bacterial SSU rRNA". It matches the Rfam family "Bacterial small subunit ribosomal RNA", at positions 30 to 448 of the family's 1533-position model. The record is from RNAcentral. Lineage: Bacteria; Pseudomonadati; Pseudomonadota; Gammaproteobacteria; Enterobacterales; Enterobacteriaceae.
AUUGAACGCUGGCGGCAGGCCUAACACAUGCAAGUCGAACGGUAACAGGAAACAGCUUGCUGUUUCGCUGACGAGUGGCGGACGGGUGAGUAAUGUCUGGGAAACUGCCUGAUGGAGGGGGGAUAACUACUGGAAACGGUAGCUAAUACCGCAUAACGUCGCAAGACCAAAGAGGGGGACCUUCGGGCCUCUUGCCAUCGGAUGUGCCCAGAUGGGAUUAGCUAGUAGGUGGGGUAACGGCUCACCUAGGCGACGAUCCCUAGCUGGUCUGAGAGGAUGACCAGCCACACUGGAACUGAGACACGGUCCAGACUCCUACGGGAGGCAGCAGUGGGGAAUAUUGCACAAUGGGCGCAAGCCUGAUGCAGCCAUGCCGCGUGUAUGAAGAAGGCCUUCGGGUUGUAAAGUACUUUCAGCGGGGAGGA